UCGGAUGUUUAUACAGAUGUCCUAUUUUUAUCUUAAAUUAAUUUUUUUUUAAAGUAUCUUUAAUGUUACAAAUUUAAAGUCAAUUGUGUCCCCUCCCGUUAAAAAAAAUUCAACUAAACAAACGGACGUGCUAGACGAUUAACACGUGGCGAAAGUAAAAUUUAAUAAUUACUUUUUUUUUCUUUUCUGUUUCUUUUCUCUCUCUUCUCUCUCUUCUCUUCUCUUCCUUUCUUCUUCCUCUUUUCUCUAUUUUAGAACAGAGGAAGAAGACGAAGCCAGCUCUAGCUCCGACUACCCCAACAACUCUCUUGCCAUAACCGCAUCCGAUACAAUCCCCACCGAUCGCCCCUCUUCAAGCCUACAAAUCUCCGCCGAGCCAUCCUAAAAGCGUGGAGAGUUUGGGACGGAAGAGGCGGCCAAAGUAGGACUUGUCGCAACAACAAAUGGGGACUUAUUUUAAUGCAGUCGAGCACCGGGGCUUUACCGUCGAGUCACGGAUCAAUUCAUGCGAAUUUUUGGAAUUCUUCUACCCCUUUGAAAAUUAGGUUAAUUUAAACAAAAUAUUGUUUUAGUUUUGUUCAGAAUUGUUUUGAAGUACUAAGUUAAAUAAGAUUAAUUGGAUUCGGUAAAAUGGGGAUUUCUUGAAGUUUUUGAAGUUCAAAAUAUGUUCUUGUGCAAAGUCUAAUUGGUUAUUUGUAUCUCACUACUCUGUUUAUGGAAUUAUUUUAGUAGUUCACAAUCCUUUAUUCUUGAAUUGCACUCGUCUCUCUCAUAUACAUAAAAAAUUACCCUACUGAUAUUGGUUGGUAAUCUAGUUUCAAUCUUUUACUGAACCUCCCCCCUCCCUAUAGUAUUGUGUUCUUUUAAAUAAUAAUAAAUAGUUGGAUUAGGCUAAUUUGGAGGUUCUUGAUAUUUAAAGGUUUUUAUUAAUUAAUUAAUUUAUCUUUUCUCCUGAACAUUUUCUUUGGAAACAAAGAAUGUUAUUGGAAUAAACAGUGGAGCUAAAUAUCUGUUUAAUUAUGUAAUGCAGUGAAUAUGGUUUGCAUUUCAGUUCGAUGGUUG
This 1062-nucleotide long non-coding RNA is filed under the name Panax ginseng (ginseng). RNAcentral's name for it is "long non-coding RNA (PGIN_LNC011998)". The record is from RNAcentral. Lineage: Eukaryota; Viridiplantae; Streptophyta; Magnoliopsida; Apiales; Araliaceae.